GAGCUGCCAUGUACUAGGCCACGUGGCAAGGGCCUGGUUGGGGACCUCCAGGGGUUGAGAGCAUCCUCUGGACAACAUGGAAAAAGAAAAUGAAAAUGGUGACCUCAGCCCUAUAGCUAGAAGGAAUUGAAUCCUGUCAACAACGAUACUCAUCACUCACUGCAGAUGUUACUUUAAGACAUUCUGGAGCAGCGUCAUGUGCAGGUGCGUAGUGCCUCCGCCCAUCUCUCUCUUGCUCCUGGUCUCAUCGUGACGGGCCUGGUCCUGCCUCACUUUAUGCCACGACUAAGAGCUCCCUGAGGCCUCUCCAGAAGCAGAUAUCACUAUGCUUCCUACACAGCCUGCAGAACCGAACAAUAAGGAAGUGAGUGCUUUUGUAAUUCCUGAACAACUGUGUCUUACACUUACUAAGGGAUUCAUGGGCAAUAUGACUGAAUAGGAACAGCUCCAGUCUGAAGCUCCCAGUGAGACCAACAUAGAAGAAAAACCUGGUGGUAUGGACUUCCAGCUCAAUAAUUCACUGUAAAGGCAAUCUGGGUGUUAUGAAAGAUGUAGACCAACAGAAACACUCAUACCUUUCUGGUGACAAUAAAACUUUGUACAUUUA
Molecule: long non-coding RNA, 607 nt
Filed under: Homo sapiens (human)
Lineage: Eukaryota; Metazoa; Chordata; Mammalia; Primates; Hominidae
Description: long intergenic non-protein coding RNA 2241
Source: RNAcentral